ACGGAAGGCAGCAGUGGGGAAUAUUGCACAAUGGGCGAAAGCCUGAUGCAGCGACGCCGCGUGAGUGAAGAAGUAUCUCGGUAUGUAAAGCUCUAUCAGCAGGGAAGAAAAUGACGGUACCUGACUAAGAAGCCCCGGCUAACUACGUGCCAGCAGCCGCGGUAAUACGUAGGGGGCAAGCGUUAUCCGGAUUUACUGGGUGUAAAGGGAGCGUAGACGGUUUGGCAAGUCUGAAGUGAAAUGCGGGGGCUCAACUCCUGAACUGCUUUGGAAACUGUCGAACUAGAGUGCAGGAGAGGUAAGUGGAAUUCCUAGUGUAGCGGUGAAAUGCGUAGAUAUUAGGAGGAACACCGGAGGCGAAGGCGCCAUACUGGACAGAAACUGACGUUGAGGCUCGAAAGCGUGGGGAGCAAACAGGAUUAGAUACCCUGGUA
This 434-nucleotide ribosomal RNA is filed under the name uncultured Clostridium sp. RNAcentral describes it as "partial 16S ribosomal RNA". It matches the Rfam family "Bacterial small subunit ribosomal RNA", at positions 341 to 792 of the family's 1533-position model. Lineage: Bacteria; Bacillati; Bacillota; Clostridia; Eubacteriales; Clostridiaceae. The record is from RNAcentral.